RNAcentral lists this long non-coding RNA (591 nucleotides) under Arabidopsis lyrata. Its description in RNAcentral is "long non-coding RNA (ALYR_LNC003008)". Lineage: Eukaryota; Viridiplantae; Streptophyta; Magnoliopsida; Brassicales; Brassicaceae. The record is from RNAcentral.
UGGCUCUAUGCCACCCACUGUCGUUGUGGUGGUGAUUCGGUUUGGGCGACCUAAUUUUCAGGUUUUCUCACACAGCUUCAACAAACGGAUCUAGGGCGAGAUCCGCCUAGGUUUCGGUCCUUAUACCGGUUCACGUCCAAUAGUUGACAUUCUCGGCCCGGCGAUUCCGACGGUCUUUGCAAGUUUGGCCAAGGUUCCACCGUCCCGCCAUCCAAGAUAUUCCAAGGUUUUUCUUCUGAAGACUCUUAAUUAACAAGUGAGGCAUGUAUAUCGGAGACUUUCUGGGUGGUGGCCAGCUCCUUCGUCGACUUCCUGCUAGUUUUGCGAUUUCGGUUGGCUCGGACAAUAAGGAAUUUGUAUCUUUGUGUUGAAUCAUUUCAAUCAUGUUUAGAUCUUUUUAGUUUUAGUUUUUCUCUUUUGUUUGUCUCCCGUGUUUGGGGCUCAGUUUCUGGGGGUUAGAAUCCCGCCGGACUUUGUAUUCCGACAACGUAUUUCAUCUGUGAUAUAUAAUAUUUCAGACGAAAAAAAAAAAAAAAAAAAAACAAGCAAACUGUUAUAGAACUUGUUGUUCUUAUUAGUAUUAAUGAAUGG